RNAcentral lists this ribosomal RNA (490 nucleotides) under uncultured bacterium. RNAcentral describes it as "partial 16S ribosomal RNA". It matches the Rfam family "Bacterial small subunit ribosomal RNA", at positions 30 to 507 of the family's 1533-position model. The record is from RNAcentral.
AUUGAACGCUGGCGGCAGGCCUAACACAUGCAAGUCGAACGGUAACAGGAAGAAGCUUGCUUCUUUGCUGACGCGUGGCGGACGGGUGAGUAAUGUCUGGGAAACUGCCUGAUGGAGGGGGAUAACUCCUGGAAACGGUAGCUAAUACCGCAUAACGUCGCAAGACCAAAGAGGGGGAGCUUCGGGCCUCUUGCCAUCGGAUGUGCCCAGAUGGGAUUAGCUAGUAGGUGGGGUAACGGCUCACCUAGGCGACGAUCCCUAGCUGGUCUGAGAGGAUGACCAGCCACACUGGAACUGAGACACGGUCCAGACUCCUACGGGAGGCAGCAGUGGGGAAUAUUGCACAAUGGGCGCAAGCCUGAUGCAGCCAUGCCGCGUGUAUGAAGAAGGCCUUCGGGUUGUAAAGUACUUUCGGCGGGGAGGAAGGGAGUAAAGUUAAUACCUUUGCUCAUUGACGUUACCCGCAGAAGAAGCACCGGCUAACUCCGUG